AAAAAGAUAAGCUAAGUUAAGCUGAAGGGUUCAUACCCCUUUUAUGGUUUAUCCUCUUUUUA
Molecule: transfer RNA, 62 nt
Filed under: Caprella penantis
Lineage: Eukaryota; Metazoa; Arthropoda; Malacostraca; Amphipoda; Caprellidae
Description: tRNA-Met
Source: RNAcentral